Molecule: transfer RNA, 77 nt
Filed under: Candidatus Buchananbacteria bacterium CG10_big_fil_rev_8_21_14_0_10_33_19
Lineage: Bacteria; Candidatus Buchananiibacteriota
Also listed under: 2 other names
Description: tRNA-Gly
Rfam family: tRNA
About the family: Transfer RNA (tRNA) molecules are approximately 80 nucleotides in length.
Source: RNAcentral
GCGGCGGUAGUUCAGUUGGCUAGAACGCUUCCUUGCCAAGGAAGAGGUCGCCGGUUCGAAUCCGGUUCGCCGCUCCA